GCGAAGCACAUGAUGACGGCUUCCAGGAAAAGCUUCUGGCAAUGCAUAUGCGGCCCGUACCAAAACCGACACAGGUGGGCAGGGAGAGAAUCCCGAGGUGAGCGAGAGAACUGUUGCCAAGGAACUCGGCAAAAUGACUCCGUAAGUUAGCGAGAAGGAGUGCUUAAGCAAUUAAGCCGCAGUGAAGAGGCCCAAGCGACUGUUUAACUAAAACACAGCUCUCUGCGAAGUCGCAAGACGAAGUAUAGGGGGUGACACCUGCCCGGUGCUGGAAGGUUAAGAGGAUCUGUUAAGAGCGAUCUGAAGCAGUGAUCCGAAGCCCCAGUGAACGGCGGCCGUAACCAUAACGGUCCUAAGGUAGCGAAAUUCCUUGUCAGGUAAGUUCUGACCCGCACGAAAGGUGUAACGAUUUGGGCGCUGUCUCGGCAGCAGACUCGGUGAAAUCUUAGUACCUGUGAAAAUGCAGGUUACCCGCAACUAGACGGAAAGACCCCAUGGAGCUUUACUGCAGCCUGAUAUUGAAUUCUGGUCAUACAUGUACAGGAUAGGUGGGAGACAAAGAAACGUGCACGCCAGUGUACGAGGAGUCGACGUUGGGAUACCACUCUUGUGUGACCGGGGUUCUAACCUGGUAUCGAGAACAGGUACGGGGAGAGUGUCAGGUGGGCAGUUUGACUGGGGCGGUCGCCUCCCAAAGAGUAACGGAGGCGCCCAAAGGUACGCUCAGAUUGGAUGGAAACCAAUCGACGAGUGCAAUUGCAGAAGCGUGCUUGACUGUGAGACAGACAAGUCGAACAGGGACGAAAGUCGGGAAUAGUGAUCCGGCGGUGCCGAAUGGAAGGGCCGCCGCUCAACGGAUAAAAGCUACCCUGGGGAUAACAGGCUGAUCUCGCCCAAGAGCUCACAUCGACGGCGAGGUUUGGCACCUCGAUGUCGGCUCAUCGCAUCCUGGAGCUGGAUUCGGUUCCAAGGGUUGGGCUGUCCGCCCAUUAAAGCGGUACGCGAGCUGGGUUCAGAACGUCGUGAGACAGUUCGGUCCCUAUCUGUUGUGGGCGAAGGAGAUCUGCGGAGAGCUGUCCUCAGUACGAGAGGACCGGGAUGGACCUACCGCUGGUGCACCGGUUGUUCCGCCAGGGGCAUAGCCGGGUAGCUAAGUAGGGAAAGGAUAAGCGCUGAAAGCAUCUAAGCACGAAGCCUACUCCAAGAUGAGAUCUCCCAUUCGCAAGAAGUAAGACCCCUUAAAGACGAUAAGGUAGAUAGGUCAGGGAUGGAAGUGCAGUGAUGUACGGAGUUGACUGGUACUAAUCGGUCGAGGACUAA
RNAcentral lists this ribosomal RNA (1320 nucleotides) under metagenome. RNAcentral describes it as "bacterial LSU rRNA". It matches the Rfam family "Bacterial large subunit ribosomal RNA", at positions 1586 to 2925 of the family's 2925-position model. The record is from RNAcentral.